UCCUACGGGAGGCAGCAGUGGGGAAUAUUGGACAAUGGACCAAGAGUCUGAUCCAGCAAUUCUGUGUGCACGAUGAAGUUUUUCGGAAUGUAAAGUGCUUUCAGUUGGGAAGAAGAAAGUGACGGUACCAACAGAAGAAGCGACGGCUAAAUACGUGCCAGCAGCCGCGGUAAUACGUAUGUCGCAAGCGUUAUCCGGAUUUAUUGGGCGUAAAGCGCGUCUAGGUGGUUGCAUAAGUCUGAUGUGAAAAUGCGGGGCUCAACUCCGUAUUGCGUUGGAAACUGUGCGACUAGAGUACUGGAGAGGUAAGCGGAACUACAAGUGUAGAGGUGAAAUUCGUAGAUAUUUGUAGGAAUGCCGAUGGGGAAGCCAGCUUACUGGACAGAUACUGACGCUAAAGCGCGAAAGCGUGGGUAGCAAACAGGAUUAGAUACCCUGGUAGUCC
Molecule: ribosomal RNA, 445 nt
Filed under: uncultured bacterium
Lineage: Bacteria
Description: bacterial SSU rRNA
Rfam family: Bacterial small subunit ribosomal RNA
Source: RNAcentral